This 75-nucleotide transfer RNA is filed under the name Motiliproteus sp. RNAcentral's name for it is "tRNA-Val". It matches the Rfam family "tRNA". Rfam says of the family: Transfer RNA (tRNA) molecules are approximately 80 nucleotides in length. RNAcentral also lists the same sequence under 11 other names. The record is from RNAcentral. Lineage: Bacteria; Pseudomonadati; Pseudomonadota; Gammaproteobacteria; Oceanospirillales; Oceanospirillaceae.
GGGCGGUUAGUUCAGCGGGAGAACACCUGCCUUACAAGCAGGGGGUCACAGGUUCAAAUCCUGUACCGCCCACCA